Molecule: long non-coding RNA, 731 nt
Filed under: Junco hyemalis (dark-eyed junco)
Lineage: Eukaryota; Metazoa; Chordata; Aves; Passeriformes; Passerellidae
Description: lncRNA (ENSJHYG00000000988.1)
Source: RNAcentral
AAUUAUCCACGCGCCGUGGCAGAAUGUGAGAUAAAGGCAAUGAUUUCUUAUCCCAAGGACACGGUCAAGCAGCCCUUGCCAAGCCUACAGAGAACUGCUGGCCUGAAGGUGAACAGGAGUAUUUCCAUGGAGAUGUUUUCCACAGAAACAGGAGCCAUGAGUGAAAUGGAAAAACCCUUCUGGGCUGCUCUGCCUGCAGAGAUGCUGUGAAAGCUCUGUGAGUCACUUGGGGAAGCCCAGGGUGCAGCCAGGCUCCAGAGAAAGUCCAGAUGCACUUCAUCCCAUCCCUGAGAGUCACUGGAACACAGUUUGGUGUGGGGGGUCCCCAGAGUGCCUGCUCCCACCAGGGCUCCUACACACUGCAGGCUCCUGCACUUGUGCUGUGCCACCACAGCCCUGCACACUGCUGCCCUGCCAGACCUCAGCUGGACCCUCUCCCCUGAAAUUCAGGGGUGCUUUCAACCAGAAACAAGGUGAGGGUGGCUGGGCAGCUCUCUGAGUCACCUGUUUAGCUUUCUCAAGUUCCUCAAGUGUGCUGCAGUUAUUUUUGGUGGGGUUGGAUGCUGGCCAGGUGGUUGGGACCUGCUGACAUUUAUGAUUUUUCUUUUUCUGCAUAACAAAAGUUUUGCUAAAUGAGAAGGAAACAAACUCAGUCCCAGGUUUCACCACGUGUUUAAAACAAGAUAAAAGCAAUUCUGGGCUGGCUGUGGUAUCCUCUAGAGCUGUGGAGG